RNAcentral lists this ribosomal RNA (253 nucleotides) under uncultured bacterium. RNAcentral's name for it is "partial 16S ribosomal RNA". It matches the Rfam family "Bacterial small subunit ribosomal RNA", at positions 524 to 776 of the family's 1533-position model. The record is from RNAcentral.
UACGUAGGGUGCAAGCGUUGUCCGGAUUUAUUGGGCGUAAAGAGCUCGUAGGCGGUCUGUCGCGUCGGAUGUGAAAACCCAGGGCUCAACCCUGGGCCUGCAUUCGAUACGGGCAGACUAGAGUCCGGAAGAGGAGAAUGGAAUUCCUGGUGUAGCGGUGAAAUGCGCAGAUAUCAGGAAGAACACCCGUGGCUAAGGCGGUUCUCUAGUACGGUACUGACGCUGAGACGCGAAAGCGUGGGGAGCGAACAGG